This 497-nucleotide ribosomal RNA is filed under the name uncultured bacterium. RNAcentral describes it as "partial 16S ribosomal RNA". It matches the Rfam family "Bacterial small subunit ribosomal RNA", at positions 28 to 507 of the family's 1533-position model. The record is from RNAcentral.
GAUGAACGCUGGCGGCGUGCCUAAUACAUGCAAGUCGAGCGAACAGACGAGGAGCUUGCUCCUCUGACGUUAGCGGCGGACGGGUGAGUAACACGUGGAUAACCUACUUAUAAUACUGGGAUAACUUCGGGAAACCGGAGCUAAUACCGGAUAAUAUAUUGAACCGCAUGGUUCACUAGUGAAAGACGGUUUUGCUGUCACUUAUAGAUGGAUCCACGCCGCAUUAGCGAGUUGGUAAGGUAACGGCUUACCAAGGCUACGAUGCGUAGCCGACCUGAGAGGGUGAUCAGCCACACUGGAACUGAGACACGGUCCAGACUCCUACGGGAGGCAGCAGUAGGGAAUCUUACGCAAUGGGCGAAAGCCUGACGGAGCAACGCCGCGCGGGUGAUGAAGGUCUUCGGAUCGUAAAACUCUGUUAUUAGGGAAGAACAAAUGUGUAAGUAACCAUGCACGUCUUGACGGUACCUAAUCAGAAAGCCACGGCUAACUACGUG